This 847-nucleotide ribosomal RNA is filed under the name uncultured bacterium. RNAcentral describes it as "bacterial SSU rRNA". It matches the Rfam family "Bacterial small subunit ribosomal RNA", at positions 60 to 866 of the family's 1533-position model. The record is from RNAcentral.
AGUCGAGCGAGUCUGCCUUGAAGAUCGGAGUGCUUGCACUCUGUGAAACAAGAUACAGGCUAGCGGCGGACGGGUGAGUAACACGUGGGUAACCUGCCUAAGAGAUCGGGAUAACACCUGGAAACAGAUGCUAAUACCGGAUAACAACAGAUGAUGCCUAUCAACUGUUUAAAAGAUGGUUCUGCUAUCACUCUUGGAUGGACCUGCGGUGCAUUAGCUAGUUGGUAGGGUAACGGCCUACCAAGGCGAUGAUGCAUAGCCGAGUUGAGAGACUGAUCGGCCACAUUGGGACUGAGACACGGCCCAAACUCCUACGGGAGGCAGCAGUAGGGAAUCUUCCACAAUGGACGCAAGUCUGAUGGAGCGACGCCGCGUGAGUGAAGAAGGGUUUCGGCUCGUAAAGCUCUGUUGUUGGUGAAGAAGGACAGGGGUAGUAACUGACCUUUGUUUGACGGUAAUCAAUUAGAAAGUCACGGCUAACUACGUGCCAGCAGCCGCGGUAAUACGUAGGUGGCAAGCGUUGUCCGGAUUUAUUGGGCGUAAAGCGAGUGCAGGCGGCUCGAUAAGUCUGAUGUGAAAGCCUUCGGCUCAACCGGAGAAUUGCAUCAGAAACUGUCGAGCUUGAGUACAGAAGAGGAGAGUGGAACUCCAUGUGUAGCGGUGAAAUGCGUAGAUAUAUGGAAGAACACCGGUGGCGAAGGCGGCUCUCUGGUCUGUUACUGACGCUGAGGCUCGAAAGCAUGGGUAGCGAACAGGAUUAGAUACCCUGGUAGUCCAUGCCGUANACGAUGAGUGCUAAGUGUUGGGAGGUUUCCGCCUCUCAGUGCUGCAGCUAACGCAUUAAGCA